RNAcentral lists this long non-coding RNA (617 nucleotides) under Eucalyptus grandis. RNAcentral's name for it is "long non-coding RNA (EGRA_LNC004292)". Lineage: Eukaryota; Viridiplantae; Streptophyta; Magnoliopsida; Myrtales; Myrtaceae. The record is from RNAcentral.
AGCCGAGCACGUCGAGAGAAGCUGGACCUAUCGCAAGGGCGUGAAAGGACUGGUACUAUACCCACAAAAGAAUGCGGUCAACGAGCUGAAGAGCACUGACCAAAAAAAAAAAAAAACGAGCUGAAGAGCAACGAAAAUGGAAAACUGACACCCGCAAGUAACUUUUGGGAUUGUAGAGACGCUCGCAAGAACACCAGGAGACCUGCAAAAGGAGAAUUCAGGUGCAGCAGCAAUUUGUCAACUCAGACGGAUCGGAUGAUGACUCGUCAGCGGUAUUGUGGAGCUUGUCGGGGCCACAGGGACACCGAGACAAGUUGGGCAGCAAUGGCAAUUGAUGCAAGUGGUGUCGGAAUUGAUCUGGGAACUGGGAGCUUCUGCUGGAGAACCACAGGAGCCAAGCUGAUUUGCUGGACUUGUUGGGCGUUGAAGGUGCUGCAGGGAGUGCUGUGGCUGUGGAGGGUGGUGCGUCGCAUUGUAGGCGUAGGUGGACAGGAUAGCGAAGACGAGGAGCACAGCGACCGCGGGAAGAGGCUUCAUUCUUCUCAUGCUCUGCGGGUGUAUUCGUGUCUGUGUAUGUGCACGUAGCUUCUUUUCUAUUAUAAUGGCGCACCUUUCCU